This 177-nucleotide long non-coding RNA is filed under the name Ictidomys tridecemlineatus (thirteen-lined ground squirrel). Its description in RNAcentral is "lncRNA (ENSSTOG00000034730.1)". The record is from RNAcentral. Lineage: Eukaryota; Metazoa; Chordata; Mammalia; Rodentia; Sciuridae.
AGCCCAUGAGUCUGAUGUCCAGGACCUCAGAGCAAGUUCAACGUUGGAUUCCUGGAGCAGUGUGGUUUCUCUAGCACACUCCCAGCACUCAGCUCUCCAGCCUCUGGAACCUCCCAAGAAUCCAAAGACACAGCUGUAGCAGGUCUGUUUAUUAGCACACCAGCUGGAAGAGAGAUU